ACAAAUCUGGAGAUAGCUGGUUCUCCCCGAAAACUAUUGAGGUAGUGCCUCGUGUGUCGCUCCAGGGGGUAGAGCACUGUUUUGGCUAGGGGGACAUGGAGUCUUACCAAACCAAGGCAAACUCCGAAUACCUGGAAGCGUAAGCACGGGAGACAGAGCACCGGGUGCUAACGUCCGGACUCAAAAGGGAAACAACCCAGACCGCCGGCUAAGGUCCCAAAUAACAGCUAAGUGGAAAACGAAGUGGAAAGGCCGUGACAACCAGGAAGUUGGCUUAGAAGCAGCCAUCCUUCAAAGAAAGCGUAAUAGCUCACUGGUCGAGUCCUUCUGCGCGGAAGAUGUAACGGGGCUAAGCUGUUAACCGAAGCCGCGGAUGCGCUGGUUAUCCAGUGCGUGGUAGGGGAGCGUUCUGUAAGUCUGCGAAGGCGGUUCGAGAGGACUGCUGGAGAUAUCAGAAGUGCGAAUGCUGACAUGAGUAACGUUAAAGCAGGUGAAAAGCCUGCUCGCCGUAAGCCCAAGGAUUCCUGCUCUACGUUCAUCGGAGCAGGGUGAGUCGGCUCCUAAGGUCAGGCCGAAAGGCGUAGCCGAUGGGAAUCAGGUUAAUAUUCCUGAACCUGCGUCAGAUGCGAUGGGGGGACGGAGCAUGGAAGAUCAUCCGGGUGUUGGAAGUCCCGGUUGUUUAGCGUAGGAGGUCUGCAGGCAAAUCCGCAGACGCAUCUCCAAGGCAAAGACACGUGCCGCCACGGCGGCGAAGUGAUCGGAAGUGCUUCCAAGAAAAGCCUCUAAGCCCCAGUCUGACGCGGACCGUACCGCAAACCGACACUGGUGGGCGAGCUGAAUAUGCUCAGGCGCUUGAGAGAACUCGGGAGAAGGAACUCGGCAAAUUGACACCGUAACUUCGGAAGAAGGUGUGCCGUAGUACCGUGAGAGGAGAGACACCUUGAGCGGGAAACGGUCUCAGAGAAUAGGUGGUUGCGACUGUUUAUUAAAAACACAGCACUCUGCAAAGUCGAAAGACGACGUAUAGGGUGUGAUGCCUGCCCGGUGCUGGAAGAUUAAUUGAUGGGGUGAGAGCCCUUGAUCGAAGUCCCAGUAAACGGCGGCCGUAACUAUAACGGUCCUAAGGUAGCGAAAUUCCUUGUCGGGUAAGUUCCGACCUGCACGAAUGGCAUAACGAUGGCCACACUGUCUCCUCCCGAGACUCAGUGAAGUUGAAAUGUUUGUGAUGAUGCAAUCUACCCGCGGCUAGACGGGAAGACCCCAUGAACCUUUACUGCAGCUUUGCAUUGAACUGUGAACCGAUUUGUGUAGGAUAGGUGGGAGGCAGAGAAGAGGCCACGCCAGUGGCCUUGGAGCCGACCUUGAAAUACCACCCUGAUUUGUUUGCGGUUCUAACCACGGACAGUGAUCCUGUCUUGGGACCGUGCAUGGUAGGCAGUUUGACUGGGGCGGUCUCCUCCUAAAGGGUAACGGAGGAGUACGAAGGUACGCUAGGUACGGUCGGAAAUCGUGCUGAUAGUGCAAUGGCAAAAGCGUGCUUGACUGCGAGAGCAACAACUCGAGCAGAUGCGAAAGCAGGUCAUAGUGAUCCGGUGGCUCUGAAUGGAAGGGCCAUCGCUCAACGGAUAAAAGGUACUCUGGGGAUAACAGGCUGAUACCGCCCAAGAGUUCAUAUCGACGGCGGUGUUUGGCACCUCGAUGUCGGCUCAUCUCAUCCUGGGGCUGUAGUCGGUCCCAAGGGUAUGGCUGUUCGCCAUUUAAAGAGGUACGUGAGCUGGGUUUAAAACGUCGUGAGACAGUUUGGUCCCUAUCUGCCGUGGGCGUUGGAAGAUUGACGGGGGCUGCUCCUAGUACGAGAGGACCGGAGUGGACGCACCUCUGGUGUACCGGUUGUCACGCCAGUGGCAUUGCCGGGUAGCUAAGUGCGGAAGAGAUAACCGCUGAAAGCAUCUAAGCGGGAAACUUGCCUGAAGAUGAGUCUUCCCGGAGGUUGAACCUCCCUCAAGAGUCGUCCGAGACCAGGACGUCGAUAGGUCAGGUGUGUAAGCGCUGUAAGGCGUUGAGCUAACUGAUACUAAUUGCUCGUGAGGCUUGAUCCU
RNAcentral lists this ribosomal RNA (2099 nucleotides) under human gut metagenome. RNAcentral describes it as "bacterial LSU rRNA". It matches the Rfam family "Bacterial large subunit ribosomal RNA", at positions 833 to 2925 of the family's 2925-position model. The record is from RNAcentral.